Molecule: long non-coding RNA, 2809 nt
Organism: Camelus dromedarius (Arabian camel)
Lineage: Eukaryota; Metazoa; Chordata; Mammalia; Artiodactyla; Camelidae
Exons: 2
Source: RefSeq, a predicted model, not a curated record
UCUCAGCUUUUCUAAGUUGAUAACAUAUUUAUUGCCUUCCUAUUAGACAAAAAUCCUUAUUGCCUGGAAAGAAUGUAGUUUCUUCAUAUUAUAUGCAUUCAUGCUAAGUGGUCUAGAAUAGUUUCCACUGAAACCCUUAUCUUACUUCAUUUCUUGGUCUGCAAAAUCUCUUUUCCAGAAUCUUUUAAAGACCUGGGCCAUUGAUAGAAAUUUCUGUACUGUAUUUUGAAACCUAAGUGAAAACAGAAAAGUGAGUGUGUGUGUAAGAAGUAUUACUUCGACUUAUUAGCACUGGCCCACCUCUUCAACCGCUGGCACCUCCAGUUGUCUGAAACAACCAAAAUUAGAAAAAUUGAAGUGUAGAAGUCAUCAGUGACAAAACUAGUUGGGCAGGAUCAAGAGACAACGGAGGUUACUAAGUACAGGAUGUGACUGAUCAUUUUGUGAAGGCAGAAGGAAAAGACCGCCUCCCUGGGUAUUGAGGGUGAUGAAAAGUGAGCGCCCAUAAUAGCAAAGGCAAGGAGGGAUAAAAAUGGAGCAAAAUGUGGGAGGAGGCAGGGGAAACAAAGCAAAAAUACUGGCAGAAAUUAGAAAGCCGGGGAUUGGGAUACAAUCUGGAUGACAGUAGAAAAUCUACUAAGGAGGGGGAGAAAACAAAUAGAACAUAUAAUACUGUCUCUCGAGAGUUUUUAAAACAAGCUACGAUGAGUCCACAAUGUCUCAGUCAUUAAGGUUUCAGUCGUGGUUAGCAGACGGCUAAGGCAGCUGUAUGUGUAACAGCUGUAGAGCAACUUUCUUCAAAACCAGUUCAUUUUAAGAAGUUGUCAGAUUUACCUCGAAUUAUAUGAACACUUUACCUUCCUGAAUGCACAUCCCCGCUAUCCCAGUAAAUGUCAUGCUUUCAGUGUGGCUUUGUAAGCAGCCCGUGCAGAGACUCCUGCCUUUAUGGAAUGGGCCAGUUCUGGAGCGUAUGAAAUGCCAUGAUAAGACCAGGUACUUCCAUAGAAAAAUUAGGUAGAGCUCUGAAAACUUUCAGUUCUCUGAUACGUUUCGUGUUCUGAAUUGUUUCGGGGUGGUGGUUUCUCUCCCUGCCCCGUCAUCAGUAGGAGCUGUAUACUGUACUAAUGAUUUUACUGCCGUAAUGCUUUUCAGUAAUUCCUCAUCUAGAUUUUCUUUACGUCAGUAUUCAAGUCCGUGAACAUUUACAGAACAUGUUUUGCGUGAUAGGCACUGGUCUUCGGGGCUGGUUAUAAAGAGGACAAAGAUGUGGAGAUCACAUCUUGGAGGAGAGAUUUGUAAAUAAAUAAUUGUAAAGCAAUUACUGCAAGAAUUAAUAAAAACAGAGCUGGAAAGGGUAUAGCUCAGUGGUAGAGCAUGUGCUUAGCAUGCACGAGGUCCUGGGUUCAAUCCCCAGUACCUCCACUAAAAAAUAAAUAAACCUAAUACCCCCCUACUCAAAAAAAGAAACAUACAGAGAAUUAACAGAGAAGAGUCAGGGCUUGGCACGCCUCCCUUUUUUUUUUUUUUUUUUUUUUCCUUUUUUCCCCCUAGUAAAUUCAGCUUGGCCUGAGUAUCCACCCUAAGUCCCCACUAAAGAUGUUAGGAUCUCAUUCUGAUAGUUACAGCUGAUGAUAAGUGUCACCAGUAGCUUUAGCUAGCUACCAUUUCAUUACUCCAGCUUGAAUUUUCGAAAAUUUAAGACUUUUAAGUCAUGUAAUGUGAGAUGAUCAUUUUUUGAUACUAAUUUUUAAAAAUCAAUAAGACAGCUGAAUAAGGUUUGCUAUUGUCUUUCAGUGAGGAUACUGAGAAAACUUUAUGUCACUCAGAAUCCAAAUGAGAAAUUUUAUUCAGGAAUAAAUAAAGCUUCAGGAAAAGCUUUACUUCACCUGAGAAAUCAAUUUACCUUUUUCUUAGGAACAAUGCAAAUCAUUGAUCACCCUCAGGUUUUGCUUUAGUUGUAAGAAAUCUCAGACUAUUACUUGUAAUAAUUAUGCAGAACCCAAUCACCUAUAUUCUAACUUAUUCUUGAUCUAGCUCUAUUCUGCUAGAUUCCAAUUUUUGUCUACUUACCAUUCCCCUUGUGUUCUUAUAAAGUUCCUCAAAUCUCUUUGUAAAUAAGGCUAAACAGUAAUACUUCAAAAAAACUGCUUUAUUUUAGGUAUGAAGAUAAGCCCCAGUGUGAACUUUUGGGGGCAAAUCCAGUUAAAUGAUCUAACUGGAAUUCCUGAGGAGUGGAAAUAAUACACGCGUUUGGCCGGUUUUGAAUUACAUCUAGGUUUAGAUCUGCUGACUUGCCUGGAAGUAGAGAAUGUGGAUAAAAGGAUUAAAAGGAACCUAAAGGGAUGAUAUGGUCCAGAACCCUGAUGUCAAGUAAAUGGAUGAUUAUUCUUCUGGAUGUGCUCUUCCCAUAUAUUAUUGCAGAAACGAAAGCUGCCAUUCCAGGAUUUAACAAUCUGUGGGUCCUUAAGUUAUUCUUUAUUUUCAUUACAUUUAGUUCGUUGAAAUAGAAACAAUUGUAGUUAGCAUCGCUUUAAAGUAAACAUGUAUUUGAGUACGAGCUCUUACUCCAGUUUCUUGGUACCAUGUCCUUUGGUUUUCGCUCUCAAAAUCUAUUUUCCACUCUUACAAACGCUUUUAUUUUCCAUCUUUGUACCUCAUUAAGUUUAUUUCUUUAAGAACUGUAGUAGUGGAAGGAUUAAGUUCAUAUUGCCAUUCUUUUUACUUGCCUGUCUCCCCUUUGAGGACAGUACAGUCUAGCCCCUUCUCUGGCAUGUAGAAUAUAUUCAAUAAAUGUUUAUUGAAUGAAUAA